This is a non-coding RNA of Pelobates cultripes (western spadefoot toad), 244 nucleotides long. The record is from the annotation of a GenBank genome assembly. Lineage: Eukaryota; Metazoa; Chordata; Amphibia; Anura; Pelobatidae.
GCACAAGAUAACAUGCUGAAUACAGCCUCUCGUGAUAUAGCAGUAUCAAAUGGAGGUAGGUAUACUGUAACUAGUGUGGGUGGUAAUUGUAUCUAGUGAUGGUCACUGUAUCCAGCCUGGAGGAUAACUGUACCCAGUGAUGGUCACUGUAUCCAGCGUAGGGGUAAUUGUACCAAGUUGGGGUCACUUUAUCCAGCAUAGGGGUAAUUGUACCAAGUCGGGGUCACUGUAUCCAGCAUAGGGG